AAUAGAUACCCCGGUAGUCCACGCCGUAAACGAUGAGUGCUAAGUGUUAGGGGGUUUCCGCCCCUUAGUGCUGCAGCUAACGCAUUAAGCACUCCGCCUGGGGAGUACGGUCGCAAGACUGAAACUCAAAGGAAUUGACGGGGGCCCGCACAAGCGGUGGAGCAUGUGGUUUAAUUCGAAGCAACGCGAAGAACCUUACCAGGUCUUGACAUCCCAUUGACCGCUAUGGAGACAUAGCUUUCCCUUCGGGGACAGUGGUGACAGGUGGUGCAUGGUUGUCGUCAGCUCGUGUCGUGAGAUGUUGGGUUAAGUCCCGCAACGAGCGCAACCCUUGUUCUUAGUUGCCAUCAUUUAGUUGGGCACUCUAAGGAGACUGCCGGUGACAAACCGGAGGAAGGUGGGGAUGACGUCAAAUCAUCAUGCCCCUUAUGACCUGGGCUACACACGUGCUACAAUGGACGGUACAAACGGUUGCCAACCCGCGAGGGGGAGCUAAUCCGAAUAAAACCGUUCUCAGUUCGGAUUGUAGGCUGCAACUCGCCUAC
RNAcentral lists this ribosomal RNA (545 nucleotides) under uncultured bacterium. RNAcentral's name for it is "bacterial SSU rRNA". It matches the Rfam family "Bacterial small subunit ribosomal RNA", at positions 777 to 1319 of the family's 1533-position model. The record is from RNAcentral.